GACCCGCCCUCACGGCACCCGAGGCGGGACCGCUGUCUGCCGCCGCAUCCCCGCCGCGACGGGCAGCUCAAAGUCGGCUUAGUUGUGCUCCGCGCCGCCGCCCGCUGCUCCGGCACCAUGUCCCUCUGCAGGGCCGCCUCGCAGGCGCUGGCCUCCCGCCUGAGCAGGGCUCCUGCCGCCGCCGGCCGCCUCAAGCAGCGUGCACCUCCUCGCCAGAUGUCAUCUGGGAGUGUUCCUGGCUCUUCUAGAGACAGCAUGAUGAUCUAUCUCCUUGCUGGUGUUGCUGCUUUUGGUGGUUUAUUUUAUGCCUACAGAGUAGUCAGUUCAUCCCGCAGCAAGUUUGUUGAACAUUCAAGUAUUCUUCGUGAGAGAACCGAGGGGCAGAACAGCAAUCCUUGGUCAAGGAAGGAAGGUGAUGGAGAAGAGGUGCAUGAAGUCACUGAAGCAGAGAAGGCCACGGAAAAAGCUGAUGCAGCAGCUGCUGUUGGACCUGCAGCACAGGAUGAGAGUGCUGGACCCAGAGUACAGGAUGAGACUUCUGGGGUAUCUCCAGAAGCUGGAGGGGAGAAUGACUUACUGCCUCCAGAAGUAUCCCAUGCUAUGGAGGAAGAACAGCAGGAAGCUGCUGCUAAUUCAGAAGCUGCUGCUAAUUUGGAACUUGCUGCUAAUUCAGAAGCUGCUGCAGUUCAAGUUUCUGAGGAGGAGAAGACAACUGAAGAAGUUGCUAAAGAGCCCUAAAGUAAGCAGAGUGGACACCUUUGGAAAGUUUAAUGCAAAUAUUUGUGGCAAUCAACCAGCUGAUUCCGGUGUGAAACCUCAUACUCUUCCUUGAAGACAUAAAAGAAACUCUGCAGUUUGUCCCACCCACACAUUGGCCAUUAUGGCCAGUAUUCAGUGCUGCAAGAGAUGAUUUGCAUUGCCUAGAGAAAUGCUUCUGUGACUAACAACUCUGCUGUAGAGAGUAGCUUCCAGUCAAGCCACUCAGCAUGUCCUAAAUACAUGUGCUAAGAGAAGCAGUAGACUUAACUAAACCAUGCCAUAUGAACUCCUUCUAUGUCAUUGUUGUCCUGAUAUGUACAUUGAUUCCUUACUUUUGGUCCAAACUAUUGUGUGUAGUUAUACCUUUGUAACAUUCCAUGCUAAAAUGUAAACAAAAGGUUUUAAAAUCAAGUCAAAAUAUUACAAAACUACAUGUUAGCAUUUUAAAAUUGGAUCACAGGGAAAAUAACAACGUGUUUGCUCCUGAGUUUGGAUUUGUGAUUGUAAGCAUAAGACAUCUGGCUGUGCAUGACCUAAUUUUCCCCCUGCAUAAAUAUUUCAGAUGAUACCACUCCUUGCACAGUAACAUCUAGGAGUAAACAUUUUAAGGCUCCUGCUUCGGGAAGAAAACCUGUUUGCAGGUAGUAGCCAUAGGUACUUUAUAAGUGGUGGCUGGCUCCUGCCUUGGGUGUGCUGGGCUCUGCUCCUCCCAAAUCUCGUUCAGCUUGCUGUGGUCUUUCUGUGUUGCUCUGUCUUGGCAGUGGCAUAUACUGGUAGUGUAACAACACAAAAGUUUGGUAGAAGCUUUCAAACUGGUACAAAUUACAAGCCCUUUAGGCCAUGGCAAAGCCUGUCUCUAACCACUUGCACACAGAGAGCAAAAUCCCUGUGAAGGGCUAUUCAACAGGUGUUCAAAUGGACAGGCAUUCUUAGGGACUAAGAAAGAACCAAACAGCUAAAUGGCCUUGUUUUCUCAGUAUUAGCUUCACAAAAAUUACAUUUAUUAUGAAUAACAGGUUUGAAUGCCACUGUGCUCCCAACCUUCAUGUGCUACAUGCAUGAGCAUGCAUCUGAGACCCCAUUUCAGCCAUCACAGAAUGGCAAUGAUUCUAAACCAGAGCCAAAUAAGGUAUAUUAUGUACUAUUUAUAUAGAAAGUGUGUUGCAUAAGGUGUGUCUGACUCUUUUCUCUUCAAGAAGAAGUUUGGAAAAUGUUGAAAGGGAAACGACAGCAUUAAUGACAUUCCUACCCACAGCACAAAGCAACACAUGCUCCUUCCCCCAUCAUAAAGCAAAUUAUAAUAGUGUUCCAACAAAGAUAUAGCCUGUUGCUCCUGGAUCUACUUAGGAAUAACUGGAAUAAUGCAAAGGCAAAAGCAGGCUCCUGAGCUUCAAGAAGACAAACCACAGCCUUCUGCUUAAAGGAUAAAGCCUCUGUGAUUAAAAGCAGUUUUUGUAGACCAAGCUACUGGAAUAAAAAUCUUAGACUAAUAUUUUGUUGGAUAAGAGUCUAUAUUUAUCUUGUAGAUUAAAAAUGCUGUGAUGGAUGUAUGCACUUAAAUUUUCUAUUUCUUCAUUUUCACAAAUUACUAGUAAAAGAAGCUAUUUUAACUGCAUCUAACAGUAGUUUCUCAAAUGGUAGGCUUUUCUGAAUGGCUCUUUAUCUCUGGAACUGCUCUGGUACAUGGCAAAAUAUGUUAGCCCCCUGGAACAGCUGCCUUAAUGACUGAAUCACAAACUAUGGUUUCCAAAAUGUAGGGUUUUUUCAUCCUUUCACUUUCAAAAAAUUGUGAGAAUCCCAAAACAGCCUGUAGAUGUGCUUUAUGCCAGAGUUCUUCUUUUUUUGCUUUUGUAUUGUUUAGGUUUUCUUAAUUAAAAAAAAAAAAAAAAAAAAAAAAAAA
Taeniopygia guttata (zebra finch) is the source of this 2659-nucleotide long non-coding RNA. NCBI's taxonomy places the organism in Eukaryota, Metazoa, Chordata, Aves, Passeriformes, Estrildidae. The record is from Ensembl.